UGAUCCCUGGCUUCCCUCAGUGGAUUAAGGAUCUGCUGUUGUUGUCGUGAGCUGUGUUGUAGGUCACAGACAUGGCUCAGAUCCCAUGUUGCCGUGGCUGUGGCAUAGGCCAGCAGCUGCAGCUCCAUUCGAGCCCUAGCCUGGGAACUUCCAUAUGCCACAUGUGCUGCCUUAAAAAGCAGAACAAACAAACAAACAAAAAAAAAAAAAAAGAAGAAGAAGAAGAAGACUAGUUCAUUACAUAGUAAAUAACUGGGGAAUUGAAAAUGAUAAUAUAAUGCUAUAAUGACAUAACUAUCUACCAAUUAAUGAGUGAUUGCUAUUGCCAGGCACUAUGGAAGAAAAUUUCUAUACAUUAUUGUAUCUAUUCUUCACAAUAGAUUUCAGAGUCUUUAUUAUUUAUUUCCAUUUUACCAAUGAGGAAACUCAGAUUCUGUCAUAGGCAUGGAGACAAUGGAAAGGGAGGGAGCGGCUUGCAGUCUGAAUCCAGGAGGCAGUCUUCCUCUUUACUCCCAAUCUGGUAUCAGAAUGGACCUUUUUGAUGUCACUGUUAUUCCAGAAAGAAUCUCUGGCAUGCUCCCCACCAGCUAACGUCAGAAAGAAAAGGGGGCCCUUGCAAAAAUCACUCCAGCAAAAAAAAGUUAGAGACCAAGACAUGACUGCAAGCACAAAGGUGGACAUAUGCCCAAGACUUGCCAAUCAUUUUAUCCCCUGAACCUAGACAUUAUGGUCAUCUGGUCAUAAAAUGUGUUCAAAGAUAAAUGCCUCCAUUGCCUUCCAAUAAAUCCCUCUUCUACCUAUUUUAUUAAUUUAUU
Molecule: long non-coding RNA, 815 nt
Filed under: Sus scrofa (pig)
Lineage: Eukaryota; Metazoa; Chordata; Mammalia; Artiodactyla; Suidae
Description: lncRNA (ENSSSCG00070013670.1)
Source: RNAcentral